RNAcentral lists this transfer RNA (75 nucleotides) under Kiritimatiellales bacterium. RNAcentral describes it as "tRNA-Gly". It matches the Rfam family "tRNA". From Rfam's summary of the family: Transfer RNA (tRNA) molecules are approximately 80 nucleotides in length. Their secondary structure includes four short double-helical elements and three loops (D, anti-codon, and T loops). The record is from RNAcentral. RNAcentral also lists the same sequence under 4 other names. Lineage: Bacteria; Pseudomonadati; Kiritimatiellota; Kiritimatiellia; Kiritimatiellales.
GCGGGAGUAAUUCAGUGGUAGAAUGGCAGCUUCCCAAGCUGUUCGUCGCCGGUUCGAGUCCGGUCUCCCGCUCCA